This 468-nucleotide ribosomal RNA is filed under the name uncultured bacterium. Its description in RNAcentral is "partial 16S ribosomal RNA". It matches the Rfam family "Bacterial small subunit ribosomal RNA", at positions 28 to 507 of the family's 1533-position model. The record is from RNAcentral.
GACGAACGCUGGCGGCGUGCUUAACACAUGCAAGUCGAACGGAAAGGCCCUGCUUUUGUGGGGUGCUCGAGUGGCGAACGGGUGAGUAACACGUGAGUAACCUGCCCUUGACUUUGGGAUAACUUCAGGAAACUGGGGCUAAUACCGGAUAGGAGCUCCUGCUGCAUGGUGGGGGUUGGAAAGUUUCGGCGGUUGGGGAUGGACUCGCGGCUUAUCAGCUUGUUGGUGGGGUAGUGGCUUACCAAGGCUUUGACGGGUAGCCGGCCUGAGAGGGUGACCGGCGACAUUGGGACUGAGAGACGGCGCAGACUCCAACGGGAGGCAGGAGGGGGGAAUAUUGCAGAGCGGGGGGGAGCCAGAGACGGCAACCCCCGGAGCGGGAAGACGGGCUUCGGGGUAUAAACAGCUUUGGCCUGUGACGAAGCGUGAGUGACGGUAAUGGGUAAAGAAGCACCGGCUAACUACGUG